RNAcentral lists this ribosomal RNA (165 nucleotides) under uncultured bacterium. RNAcentral's name for it is "partial 16S rRNA". It matches the Rfam family "Bacterial small subunit ribosomal RNA", at positions 355 to 511 of the family's 1533-position model. The record is from RNAcentral.
UAGGGAAUCUUCCACAAUGGACGAAAGUCUGAUGGAGCAACGCCGCGUGAGUGAAGAAGGUUUUCGGAUCGUAAAGCUCUGUUGUUGGUGAAGAAGGAUAGAGGCAGUAACUGGUCUUUUAUUUGACGGUAAUCAACCAGAAAGUCACGGCUAACUACGUGCCAG